Molecule: ribosomal RNA, 279 nt
Filed under: uncultured bacterium
Lineage: Bacteria
Description: partial 16S ribosomal RNA
Rfam family: Bacterial small subunit ribosomal RNA
Source: RNAcentral
UGCCAGCCGCCGCGGUAACACGGGGGGCGCAAGCGUUAUUCGGAAUUACUGGGCGUAAAGCGCACGUAGGCGGAUCAGAAAGUAUGGGGUGAAAUCCCAGGGCUCAACCCUGGAACUGCCUCAUAAACUCCUGGUCUAGAGUUCGAGAGAGGUGAGUGGAAUUCCGAGUGUAGAGGUGAAAUUCGUAGAUAUUCGGAGGAACACCAGUGGCGAAGGCGGCUCACUGGCUCGAUACUGACGCUGAGACGCGAAAGCGUGGGGAGCAAACAGGAUUAGAUA